UGGGGAAUAUUGCACAAUGGGCGCAAGCCUGAUGCAGCCAUGCCGCGUGUAUGAAGAAGGCCUUCGGGUUGUAAAGCUCUUUCAGCGGGGAGGAAGGCGUUAAGGUUAAUAACCUUGGCGAUUGACGUUACCCGCAGAAGAAGCACCGGCUAACUCCGUGCCAGCAGCCGCGGUAAUACGGAGGGUGCAAGCGUUAAUCGGAAUUACUGGGCGUAAAGCGCACGCAAGCGGUCUGUCAAGUCGGAUGUGAAAUCCCCGGGCUCAACCUGGGAACUGCAGCUGAUACUGGCAAGCUUGAGUCUCGUAGAGGGGGGUAGAAUUCCAGGUGUAGCGGUGAAAUGCGUAGAGAUCUGGAGGAAUACCGGUGGCGAAGGCGGCCCCCUGGACGAAGACUGACGCUCAGGUGCGAAAGCGUGGGGAGCAAACAGG
Molecule: ribosomal RNA, 429 nt
Filed under: Chloroflexota bacterium
Lineage: Bacteria; Bacillati; Chloroflexota
Description: Chloroflexi bacterium partial 16S ribosomal RNA
Rfam family: Bacterial small subunit ribosomal RNA
Source: RNAcentral